AGCAGCUAAGCUUUCACUUUGAAAAUAUUUAGUUGAAUAAACCUUAUUUUUUCCAAUGCUAUUAGUCGCACUCGGGAGUUUGAUCUUUGUUAGGGAUGCGGUUAGGUCAGGGGUGGGAUAAUUUUUCUGUGGUUACUUCAUCUGGGCAGAGAAGUUGAAGAUAGAAGGUGGUAGUCUCCUCUUUUUAUUUCUUAGUUCUGUUCAUCUGGCACAAGCUUAUGAAGUGUUUUCCUUUGAAAACCCUCAAGUGUGGGAAAAAGUUAAUGCUGCUUUCUUUUGGCUCAGAAGCUCAUAUUCCUAUGGCUAGACAGUCCAAGCCGAGCCUAGACAGUGCUGUACCAUCACGGACCUUGGCCUGGAGGUGUGACUGCAGAAGAGCAUUCACUGAAAAAAUCUGCAAGGUGGAGACUAUGUUGGCCAAAGGUGUUUGUGUAGAUGGGUGCACUGCAUGUUGUUUACUUUAAUCCUACCACUUCCACAGGAUGAUCUGGG
Gallus gallus (chicken) is the source of this 492-nucleotide long non-coding RNA. NCBI's taxonomy places the organism in Eukaryota, Metazoa, Chordata, Aves, Galliformes, Phasianidae. The record is from Ensembl.